UCAAACUUGGUCAUUUAGAGGAAGUAAAAGUCGUAACAAGGUUUCCGUAGGUGAACCUGCGGAAGGAUCAUUAAAGCAAAUGUGUCUAACACAUACCAUUGUGCGAAAGAGAGGUUUUGCGGCUUUUGCUCUAUGAAAAGCCGCGGUUUACCAAGAUGAGAUUAUUUACGCGCCAAAAGACGAUACGUCUAAAUGAAACACACAACUUUAGACAAUGGAUCCCUCGGCUCUUACAUCGAUGAAGAACGCAGC
RNAcentral lists this unclassified non-coding RNA (252 nucleotides) under uncultured fungus. RNAcentral's name for it is "partial contains small subunit ribosomal RNA, internal transcribed spacer 1, and 5.8S ribosomal RNA". The stretch from base 1 to 73 matches the Rfam family "Eukaryotic small subunit ribosomal RNA", at positions 1759 to 1831 of the family's 1831-position model. The record is from RNAcentral. Lineage: Eukaryota; Fungi.